RNAcentral lists this small nucleolar RNA (110 nucleotides) under Prolemur simus (greater bamboo lemur). Its description in RNAcentral is "Small nucleolar RNA SNORA51 (ENSPSMG00000021895.1)". Lineage: Eukaryota; Metazoa; Chordata; Mammalia; Primates; Lemuridae. The record is from RNAcentral.
GUUCAUGAAAAGAGUCAGAGUAAAAUUCUUCAUAAAAUAUUAGCAAAUCCCCAUAUACACCUCAGCCCAGGCUCUGCCCCUGAUCUGUGUUGUGAAUAGUGGGGACAUAG